UCAUCUUCGGGGGUAGAGCACUGUUUCGGCUAGGGGGUCAUCCCGACUUACCAACCCGAUGCAAACUACGAAUACCGAAGAAUGUUAUCACGGGAGACACACGGCGGGUGCUAACGUCCGUCGUGAAGAGGGAAACAACCCAGACCGCCAGCUAAGGUCCCAAAGUCACAGUUAAGUGGGAAACGAUGUGGGAAGGCACAGACAGCCAGGAUGUUGGCUUAGAAGCAGCCAUCAUUUAAAGAAAGCGUAAUAGCUCACUGGUCGAGUCGGCCUGCGCGGAAGAUGUAACGGGGCUAAACUGUGCACCGAAGCUGCGGCAGCGACACUAUGUGUUGUUGGGUAGGGGAGCGUUCUGUAAGCCUGCGAAGGUGGCCUGUGAGGGUUGCUGGAGGUAUCAGAAGUGCGAAUGCUGACAUAAGUAACGAUAAUGCGGGUGAAAAGCCCGCACGCCGGAAGACCAAGGGUUCCUGUCCAACGUUAAUCGGGGCAGGGUGAGUCGACCCCUAAGGCGAGGCCGAAAGGCGUAGUCGAUGGGAAACAGGUUAAUAUUCCUGUACUUGGUGUUACUGCGAAGGGGGGACGGAGAAGGCUAUGUUAGCCGGGCGACGGUUGUCCCGGUUUAAGCAUGUAGGCGGAGGUUCCAGGUAAAUCCGGUACCUUUUAACGCUGAGGUGUGAUGACGAGGCACUACGGUGCUGAAGUAACAAAUGCCCUGCUUCCAGGAAAAGCCUCUAAGCAUCAGGUAACAUUAAAUCGUACCCCAAACCGACACAGGUGGUCAGGUA
Molecule: ribosomal RNA, 785 nt
Filed under: Klebsiella aerogenes
Lineage: Bacteria; Pseudomonadati; Pseudomonadota; Gammaproteobacteria; Enterobacterales; Enterobacteriaceae
Description: partial 23S ribosomal RNA
Rfam family: Bacterial large subunit ribosomal RNA
Source: RNAcentral